Molecule: long non-coding RNA, 317 nt
Organism: Dendroctonus ponderosae (mountain pine beetle)
Lineage: Eukaryota; Metazoa; Arthropoda; Insecta; Coleoptera; Curculionidae
Exons: 3
Source: RefSeq, a predicted model, not a curated record
GAGGAAACGAAAAACGUUUKUGAGGCAUGCCCCAUCGCCACCUAACACCAGGAAACGCAGGAACCAGGAACCAGGCCCGUCAAACCAGGAAUCAGGCCCAUCAACAUCAAAGUCUCCCCUGCGAGUCACCAAUGGCAAAAAAUCCCCCUUAAAUGGCCACAAAACUGAAUCGUCGCUUCCAGCCAUCGCCAACCUGCCCAGCGGAUUAAUAAUCGAAAGCAUCAGUCCAGGACGAACGUCGCCCGAGCCCAAGCAAUGCAUUGUCUGCAAGAAACCAGGUGACAGCGCGUUUUGUUCUAGGUGCUCUGUCGAUAUGC